Molecule: long non-coding RNA, 308 nt
Filed under: Trifolium pratense (red clover)
Lineage: Eukaryota; Viridiplantae; Streptophyta; Magnoliopsida; Fabales; Fabaceae
Description: long non-coding RNA (TPRA_LNC012234)
Source: RNAcentral
AAAAAGAAAUUAAAAAAUUUGAGAAUAGAAUCAGUACCUGUUUGUGUUUUCAGUUGUAGGGAGAGGAACGAUCUGAGAGAUGCUUCAAUUUGUUUCCCUGAACUUCGAUUUGGGACCUAGGGUUCGCGAACCACCGAGAGAGAUGACGAAAUUGAGAGAACGAGUGAGAGAUUGUCGUGAUUGAGAGAGUUUCGAAUCGAGAGAGGAAUUGAGGGUUUGUUGUUCUUGAGGGUUUUGUAAAAUCGCGUGACUUACGCCAUUGUUCUUGAGGGUUUGAAGUUGGCGAGAGUAGUAUCAAUCGUGUGAGU